AAUUCAAUUUCACACGUAUUUGUUCUGAAUCUACUCACGGUCUCAGGCAUGCACAUGCACAUGUAAAUCAUUGAGGUUAGCAUGCAUCAAUCAAAUCAAGAAAAAGAUUAUUUAUAUCUAAACUUCCCUUAAUUGUAUUAUUUUACAAAAUAAAAAAAAUAUUCUAUAUAUUACCUCCUAUGAGGUAAUAGAUGAUUACAAUAAUUUGAUCAAAAUAAAUGAAUGGUUCACAUUUAUUUGUGAGUAGCAUAGCAAACCCAAGUAUGGUACGUCCGUACUAGAUAUCAACCAGC
RNAcentral lists this long non-coding RNA (293 nucleotides) under Sorghum bicolor (sorghum). RNAcentral describes it as "long non-coding RNA (SBIC_LNC016832)". Lineage: Eukaryota; Viridiplantae; Streptophyta; Magnoliopsida; Poales; Poaceae. The record is from RNAcentral.